GUGUGCACCAGCUGGAUGGAGCUGCCUGGCUGUGUUGCCCUGGGGUCCCUGGUCUCUGUGCCUGGGGUCCUGGUUCAUCUCCUGCUUGCUCUUGCUGGGGAUGCUGUCUGUGCAGGCAGGCGGGCCUGCAGCCGUUGGCUGACACCCUGUCCCGUGGAAAGCGGGGAGGCCCCACUGUCAUCACCAGGAGAUAACACCCCAUUGGCCAGCCCGGCUCAGCUCUGCUUGUGGUUAGGGGAGUUUUGGAGUGAACGUGUUCAGACCCCUCUACUUCCUGAAACUUCAGUGAGCCCUGGAGAGGGGCACACGGCGCCGCGGCAGGAUGGGCCUGGGUCCUUUUAAACUGCCGCAGUACACUUCUCAUUAGGACCUGCAAGGCGCACAGGGUGCACUAGAAAGCUUAUUUUAGAGCCAGCCUGAGAUUGGAACCUGCGAAUAUGCCAGGAAAUGCCACCCUAGUGGCCACCCCUGUCCCUCAGACCAUCUCAGGACCGGCUGGGCUCUGCAACGCAUCCUUUGCAUCCUU
This is a long non-coding RNA of Sciurus carolinensis (gray squirrel), 526 nucleotides long. RefSeq lists it as uncharacterized. NCBI's taxonomy places the organism in Eukaryota, Metazoa, Chordata, Mammalia, Rodentia, Sciuridae. The transcript has 3 exons. The record is from RefSeq and is a predicted model, not a curated record.